RNAcentral lists this long non-coding RNA (1230 nucleotides) under Catharus ustulatus (Swainson's thrush). RNAcentral's name for it is "lncRNA (ENSCUSG00005000336.1)". Lineage: Eukaryota; Metazoa; Chordata; Aves; Passeriformes; Turdidae. The record is from RNAcentral.
GACCGUGGCCAAACGCAGCUCGCAGUGGUCCAGAGCCACUCACGUCCUUGGCUGGAGCCCCGCGGGUGUAGCGGGCCCCGGUGCCUCCUUCGCCCCCGGGAUCCUGCCCUUCCUUCCCUGCCCGCCUCCGCCGGCGGGAGCUCUGCCCGCUGCUCCUUCCUGGUCGCGGGGCGCGGCUGCCGGGCGCACCUCCCGCGCAGGUACCGGGGCACAGCCGGCACGGAGGCACAGCCUUCCAAAGGGAGCGCUGGGGCAGGGGGGAACGAGGGAACGAGCCACAGGGCGCCGAGAGCGGGCGGGGGCAGUCCCGGCUCUGCUGCCGGAGGAGGCGCGGCUGUGUGGCGGCGGGAGGGACCCACGCGCGCUCCGGAGCGCGGAGCGGAGCUUUCCCCUUUCCUGCUCCAUCCCUGCCUCUCCCUCACCUGGCCGGCGCUGUCCCCUCGCACCUUGGCUGCUCCCCCCGCUGCAUGCAGCCCGCGGAGCGCCGCAGCCCAGGAGGAUACGCCGGGUGCGUUGGGAUUCACUAAUUUAUUUAUUAUUAUUAUUUUUUUAGAGGGUUUUUUGUUUUUUAUUUUCUUCUCUCCGGGCGGCUUCGCGGAGGGGAAGGAAGAGGGGCAGCCGGGGCCUCCCCACCACCGCGGCUCCAGGGCUGUGCCCGCCCCGCACGCUGCGCUCCGCUCCGCCGUGUUUGUUGUUGUUGUGCUCCGGGGAAGGAGGCGGCAGAGCGAGCGCUCCCCGGGGCGGCGCAGGGCGGGCAGCCCUCGGCUUCUUUCCCUUCCUCUUCUCCGCGCGGGGCUCGGCGGAGGACGAGGUGCGGCACACCUGGGGCAGGUGGCAGCGGUAGGUGGCCCCGGGCUCCCCCGGAGGGAUCCCGCCCGCGGGACAGGUGCCUGCGGAGCGGCGAGCGGUGCUGGGCAGGGCGGGGAGGGGAGGCAGGGCAGGCGCUGCUGCCGGCCCCAGGUGGGUGCCAGGGGUCCCCUCCGUCGGGGCGGCCGUGCCUUACAUAACCGGGCGGGAGGCCCCGGGUCCGUGCCGUGCCUUCCGGUUUCACAUCCGUGCCCGGAGCCUUACAGCGACACGCACAACUUCUCCUUUUUCUGUUUUGUUUUGUCGUUUGUUUCUUUUUCCCCCCGCCGCUUCACGGGGCCAAAGGAGCGGGGCAGGUGCUGUGCUCGCCGUGAUCCCGCCGCUGCCCCUGCGCGGCUGGGCGCUCCUGCUGGCAUUUCCUGA